AGUGAACGCUGGCGGUAGGCCUAACACAUGCAAGUCGAACGGCAGCACAGUAAGAGCUUGCUCUUACGGGUGGCGAGUGGCGGACGGGUGAGGAAUACAUCGGAAUCUACUUUUUCGUGGGGGAUAACGUAGGGAAACUUACGCUAAUACCGCAUACGACCUACGGGUGAAAGCAGGGGAUCUUCGGACCUUGCGCGAUUGAAUGAGCCGAUGUCGGAUUAGCUAGUUGGCGGGGUAAAGGCCCACCAAGGCGACGAUCCGUAGCUGGUCUGAGAGGAUGAGCAGCCACACUGGAACUGAGACACGGUCCAGACUCCUACGGGAGGCAGCAGUGGGGAAUAUUGGACAAUGGGCGAAAGCCUGAUCCAGCCAUACCGCGUGGGUGAAGAAGGCCUUCGGGUUGUAAAGCCCUUUUGUUGGGAAAGAAAAGCAGCAGGUUAAUACCCCGCUGUUCUGACGGUACCCAAAGAAUAAGCACCGGCUAACUUCGUG
This 492-nucleotide ribosomal RNA is filed under the name uncultured bacterium. RNAcentral's name for it is "partial 16S ribosomal RNA". It matches the Rfam family "Bacterial small subunit ribosomal RNA", at positions 29 to 507 of the family's 1533-position model. The record is from RNAcentral.